This 253-nucleotide ribosomal RNA is filed under the name uncultured bacterium. RNAcentral's name for it is "partial 16S ribosomal RNA". It matches the Rfam family "Bacterial small subunit ribosomal RNA", at positions 524 to 776 of the family's 1533-position model. The record is from RNAcentral.
UACGAAGGGGGCUAGCGUUGUUCGGAUUUACUGGGCGUAAAGCGCAUGUAGGCGGGUCGUUAAGUUGGGGGUGAAAUCCCGAGGCUCAACCUCGGAACUGCCUUCAAAACUGUUGACCUGGACCCAAGUAGAGGCGAGUGGAAUUCCGAGUGUAGAGGUGAAAUUCGUAGAGAUUAGGAGGAACACCAGUGGCGAAGGCGACUCGCUGGACUUGUGGUGACGCUGAGAUGCGAAAGCGUGGGGAGCAAACAGG